This 368-nucleotide ribosomal RNA is filed under the name Serratia marcescens. RNAcentral's name for it is "bacterial SSU rRNA". It matches the Rfam family "Bacterial small subunit ribosomal RNA", at positions 86 to 457 of the family's 1533-position model. Lineage: Bacteria; Pseudomonadati; Pseudomonadota; Gammaproteobacteria; Enterobacterales; Yersiniaceae. RNAcentral also lists the same sequence under 2 other names. The record is from RNAcentral.
GGGUGACGAGCGGCGGACGGGUGAGUAAUGUCUGGGAAACUGCCUGAUGGAGGGGGAUAACUACUGGAAACGGUAGCUAAUACCGCAUAACGUCGCAAGACCAAAGAGGGGGACCUUCGGGCCUCUUGCCAUCAGAUGUGCCCAGAUGGGAUUAGCUAGUAGGUGGGGUAAUGGCUCACCUAGGCGACGAUCCCUAGCUGGUCUGAGAGGAUGACCAGCCACACUGGAACUGAGACACGGUCCAGACUCCUACGGGAGGCAGCAGUGGGGAAUAUUGCACAAUGGGCGCAAGCCUGAUGCAGCCAUGCCGCGUGUGUGAAGAAGGCCUUCGGGUUGUAAAGCACUUUCAGCGAGGAGGAAGGUGGUGA